Molecule: ribosomal RNA, 484 nt
Filed under: uncultured bacterium
Lineage: Bacteria
Description: partial 16S ribosomal RNA
Rfam family: Bacterial small subunit ribosomal RNA
Source: RNAcentral
AUUGAACGCUGGCGGCAGGCCUAACACAUGCAAGUCGAGCGGAUGAAGGGAGCUUGCUCCUGGAUUCAGCGGCGGACGGGUGAGUAAUGCCUGGGAAUCUGCCUGGUAGUGGGGGAUAACGUCCGGAAACGGGCGCUAAUACCGCAUACGUCCUGAGGGAGAAAGUGGGGGAUCUUCGGACCUCACGCUAUCAGAUGAGCCUAGGUCGGAUUAGCUAGUUGGUGGGGUAAAGGCCUACCAAGGCGACGAUCCGUAACUGGUCCGAGAGGAUGAUCAGUCACACUGGAACUGAGACACGGUCCAGACUCCUACGGGAGGCAGCAGUGGGGAAUAUUGGACAAUGGGCGAAAGCCUGAUCCAGCCAUGCCGCGUGUGUGAAGAAGGUCUUCGGAUUGUAAAGCACUUUAAGUUGGGAGGAAGGGCAGUAAGUUAAUACCUUGCUGUUUUGACGUUACCAACAGAAUAAGCACCGGCUAACUUCGUG